AUAUGUGGUCACAGAAGGCCUGUGUGAUGACACUAGAGCUGAAAUCAGAAGCCCACAGCAGUGUGGAGUACUCAUGAAGCUGAAACCAAGCCCGAGCAGCUGGACUGCUGAGAGUUAAGCAGAGAGCAAGGAGCAAGAGAGAGAAAACAGAGACCCAAGUAGGUUAUGGAACUUGCCCCAGUCACACAGCUAGUAACUGCUGAAGCUAUCACCUGAGUCUGCGAAAUGAAAGGAGACACGUUACGUGCUUAGCAAACAGACCUCCAGGGCUUAAAGAGUAUCCGAGAAACACUCGUGCCGCCGGCACGGAGCAUGUGCUCAGGAGAGGCAUGCUGGAUGAGCGGGAGCCGAUGGGGGCCGCUCACCUGCAACAGCGGCAGGAGCAGCUGGUUGAGCCUCCGCCGCUCCAUGAGGCUGACGGCGCCCUCGCCCGUACGGCCCAUCUCGUUCAGCAGCACCAGCACCGCGAUCUUAUACGGCGUCACCCAGUCCUUGAUGCCGAACACGUUGGCGUGCACGACCCCAUUGGUCAUCAUGGGGUUGAAGUAGAGGCUCUCGUGGACGCUGGCCAUGGCGCCCCCGGACUAAGUCAGAAGCCCGCCAGCUACCGGGAUUCCUAGGCCUCCGCUCACCCUCGCUGUAGCCCAGGAAACGGGUAAUCCUUGUUCGCGGUGAGCCGUCGGCCAAUCAGAGAAGCCAGACCAGAGCACAUGGGAAGGCUACAGCCAAUCAGAAUGUCCGGGGGUGCUGUGCAGGGCGGGGCAAAGACGGUGCACUUAAAGACGGAGUCCCCUACAGAAACUCCAGCGGAACAACUAGGUUCCCGGGAGACUUGGGGUCGGACUGUAGAAGGGAGAUAGAUGAUGGAUGCUCGGGGGCCUGGGGCUGAAUGGCUCAGGUUGGGGUGGGUGGAGGACCUGCCCAUCUGUUUAAUUAAAAACAGUUAAAAUUGAAUUUUGAAACAAUUCUGUUUAAAAGCAGCAGAAUUCGGGGCAGCCCAGGUGGCUCAGCGGUUUAGCGCCGCCUUGAGUCCAGGGCCUGAUCCUGGGGUCCCGGUAUCGAGUCCCAGGUCAGGCUCCCUGCAUGGAGCCUGCUUCUCCCUCUGCCUGUGUCUC
Canis lupus familiaris (dog) is the source of this 1115-nucleotide long non-coding RNA. RefSeq lists it as uncharacterized. The record is from RefSeq and is a predicted model, not a curated record. NCBI's taxonomy places the organism in Eukaryota, Metazoa, Chordata, Mammalia, Carnivora, Canidae. The transcript is spliced from 3 exons.